AAACUUUCAACAACGGAUCUCUUGGUUCUGGCAUCGAUGAAGAACGCAGCGAAAUGCGAUAAGUAAUGUGAAUUGCAGAAUUCCGUGAAUCAUCGAAUCUUUAAACGCACAUUGCGCCCCUCGGUAUUCCGGGGGGCAUGCUUGUUCGAGCGUCAUUA
Molecule: ribosomal RNA, 158 nt
Filed under: uncultured fungus
Lineage: Eukaryota; Fungi
Description: 5.8S ribosomal RNA
Rfam family: 5.8S ribosomal RNA
About the family: 5.8S ribosomal RNA (5.8S rRNA) is a component of the large subunit of the eukaryotic ribosome. It is transcribed by RNA polymerase I as part of the 45S precursor that also contains 18S and 28S rRNA.
Source: RNAcentral